GGUUUAAUUCGACGCAACGCGAAGAACCUUACCAGGUCUUGACAUUGAUCGCGAUCUGCAGAAAUGCGGAGUUCUUCUUCGGAAGACGAGAAAACAGGUGGUGCACGGCUGUCGUCAGCUCGUGUCGUGAGAUGUUGGGUUAAGUCCCGCAACGAGCGCAACCCCUAUCAUUUGUUNCCAGCACGUAAAGGUGGGGACUCAAAUGAGACCGCCGCGGACAACGCGGAGGAAGGCGGGGACGACGUCAAGUCAUCAUGCCCCUUAUGACCUGGGCUACACACGUACUACAAUGGGUGUCAACAAAGAGAAGCGAAACCGCGAGGAAGAGCAAACCUCAAAAACACACCCCCAGUUCAGAUCGCAGGCUGCAACCCGCCUGCGUGAAGCAGGAAUCGCUAGUAAUNGCGGGUCAGCAU
RNAcentral lists this ribosomal RNA (416 nucleotides) under uncultured Eubacteriales bacterium. RNAcentral describes it as "bacterial SSU rRNA". It matches the Rfam family "Bacterial small subunit ribosomal RNA", at positions 943 to 1355 of the family's 1533-position model. Lineage: Bacteria; Bacillati; Bacillota; Clostridia; Eubacteriales. The record is from RNAcentral.